This 312-nucleotide unclassified non-coding RNA is filed under the name plant metagenome. RNAcentral describes it as "partial contains 5.8S ribosomal RNA, internal transcribed spacer 2, and large subunit ribosomal RNA". The stretch from base 1 to 105 matches the Rfam family "5.8S ribosomal RNA", at positions 50 to 154 of the family's 154-position model. The record is from RNAcentral.
GAAAUGCGAUAAGUAAUGUGAAUUCCAGAAUUCCGUGAAUCAUCGAAUCUUUGAACGCACAUUGCGCCCUCUGGCAUUCCGGGGGGCAUGCCUGUCCGAGCGUCAUUACGCACCCUCAAGCCCGGCUUGUGUGAUGGGCCCCGGCGUCUCGUUCGCGAGACGGGCCCGAAAGGCAGCGGCGGCGUCGACCCGAUGAGCCCGAGCGUAUGGGGACUUCUGUCACACGUUCGCGGUGCGGACCGGCGCCUGCUUGACUUUUCUGAUUAUCCAGGUUGACCUCGGAUCAGGUAGGGAUACCCGCUGAACUUAAGC